Molecule: long non-coding RNA, 889 nt
Organism: Medicago truncatula (barrel medic)
Lineage: Eukaryota; Viridiplantae; Streptophyta; Magnoliopsida; Fabales; Fabaceae
Exons: 2
Source: RefSeq, a predicted model, not a curated record
AUGUCAUGAAUUUAUUCAUAUAAAAUCUGAUAUAUUUCACAUAAGUUUAGUACAAAAUCUAAUUAAAAUUUGUUCAUUUAUAAAUUAAGCCUCUAUAAUCUUUGUUAUUGUGUUCUUGAUGCUAUCAAAUCAUGGUUACAACUUACAGAACAAUAUCGAAGUUUUUCUUACCACUUUAGGUUUAGGAUCCAUAUGAACCUUAAUCUGUCAUACUGCAUCAGUUAUAUAGAUGAAUUUCAUUUUCAUAUUAGUUAUAUAGUGAUUAGCUGUUGGUAAAGCUGUGCUAUAAAGGGUUGAGCUACAUUUGAAACUUUAUUACUCAUAAUAGUUGUGUUGUAUAGUGAAAAAAUAUUGACGCAUGAAAUGUUUAUUUUUGGAAUGAUACACCGCUUCAUAGAAUUAUGGGACCAAGAUAGAGGAUUCUGGAGGUGGAAAAAGAUGUCAAAGCAAGGACAAAGGGUGAGACAGGAGCUGCAAAGACACUCUGUAUUCCCUUUGAUCAGCCAGAACUCCCCGAAGGUAUAAGCAUUGUUCAAGUGGAGGUGUUAACGUGUUAUUAUUUUAUCCUACUUCCGUCUCUUUAUAACUUAAGUGUCUCAUUUGAGUUGUGCAUGGUUCCUAAGAAAAUGUUUAGUUGAGUUGAUAUCAAUGAUAAAAUGUAUUUCAUUUACUAAAACUUUAGUAAUAUUUGACAAGUAAAAGUUGCAAAUGAGACACUUAGUGCAUGCUUGGGCUAUUCUCUGUGUUCUAUAUACAUAUAACUAUUGGCAGUGGGAUGUUAAGGUUCUUUGCACACAAGAUUUUGUUCAUGUUUAGUUAUUUUUCCUUUUGUGAACCCUUAAAAAGCUUCAAGGACUCAUGCCAUAUAUUUGUGACUUUUCUUCUCUUA